GUAACUGACGCUGAGGCUCGAAAGUAUGGGUAGCAAACAGGAUUAGAUACCCUGGUAGUCCAUACCGUAAACGAUGAAUGCUAAGUGUUGGAGGGUUUCCGCCCUUCAGUGCUGCAGCUAACGCAUUAAGCAUUCCGCCUGGGGAGUACGGCCGCAAGGCUGAAACUCAAAGGAAUUGACGGGGGCCCGCACAAGCGGUGGAGCAUGUGGUUUAAUUCGAAGCUACGCGAAGAACCUUACCAGGUCUUGACAUACUAUGCAAAUNUAAGAGAUUAGACGUUCCCUUCGGGGACAUGGAUACAGGUGGUGCAUGGUUGUCGUCAGCUCGUGUCGUGAGAUGUUGGGUUAAGUCCCGCAACGAGCGCAACCCUUAUUAUCAGUUGCCAGCAUUAAGUUGGGCACUCUGGUGAGACUGCCGGUGACAAACCGGAGGAAGGUGGGGAUGACGUCAAAUCAUCAUGCCCCUUAUGACCUGGGCUACACACGUGCUACAAUGGAUGGUACAACGAGUUGCGAACUCGCGAGAGUAAGCUAAUCUCUUAAAGCCAUUCUCAGUUCGGAUUUG
Molecule: ribosomal RNA, 565 nt
Filed under: Lactiplantibacillus plantarum
Lineage: Bacteria; Bacillati; Bacillota; Bacilli; Lactobacillales; Lactobacillaceae
Description: bacterial SSU rRNA
Rfam family: Bacterial small subunit ribosomal RNA
Source: RNAcentral